Molecule: ribosomal RNA, 252 nt
Filed under: uncultured bacterium
Lineage: Bacteria
Description: partial 16S ribosomal RNA
Rfam family: Bacterial small subunit ribosomal RNA
Source: RNAcentral
UACGGAGGAUGCGAGCGUUAUCCGGAUUUAUUGGGUUUAAAGGGUGCGUAGGCGGACGCUUAAGUCAGCGGUAAAAUUGCGGGGCUCAACCUCGUCGAGCCGUUGAAACUGGGUGCCUUGAGUGGGCGAGAAGUACGCGGAAUGCGUGGUGUAGCGGUGAAAUGCAUAGAUAUCACGCGGAACUCCGAUUGCGAAGGCAGCGUACCGGCGCCCUACUGACGCUGAAGCACGAAGGCGUGGGUAUCGAACAGG